GAAGAGAUAUUGAAAUAGCGAUCUUUUACAUACCGAAGGGUCAAACAUGAUAAAGGCACUCAAAGAUUAAUAUGUGCAAAAGAUGGCCGCUCUGCCUACCAAAACGACAUGACAUGCGGAUGGAAGAUUUUUGCACCA
Molecule: small RNA, 138 nt
Filed under: Arabidopsis thaliana (thale cress)
Lineage: Eukaryota; Viridiplantae; Streptophyta; Magnoliopsida; Brassicales; Brassicaceae
Description: ATSL305100
Source: RNAcentral